This is a non-coding RNA of Oryza glumipatula, 203 nucleotides long. NCBI's taxonomy places the organism in Eukaryota, Viridiplantae, Streptophyta, Magnoliopsida, Poales, Poaceae. The record is from Rfam.
AAUAAACCUAGCCAUGAGUUUUCACGUCCAACUUUAAUCAUCCGUCUUAUUUAAAAAAAAUUUAUAAUUAGUAUUUUUGUUGUUAUGAGAUAAUAAAACAUAAAUAUUACUUUACUCGUGACUUAUGUUUUUAAUCUUUUAAAAAAAAUUUAAAUAAGACGAACGGUCAAAGUUGGACACGGAAAAUCAUUGUUGUACUUAUU